Molecule: long non-coding RNA, 291 nt
Filed under: Homo sapiens (human)
Lineage: Eukaryota; Metazoa; Chordata; Mammalia; Primates; Hominidae
Description: non-protein coding TIPARP-AS1:6
Source: RNAcentral
AAUAGAUUAAGGGUGUUAUCUCCUUAGCAGCUUAUUUCAAAUUGCAUCAAGGCAGGGCCAUUAAACUAAGAGUAAUAACAGGAUGGAGAUGGAGUUUCAUGACAAAAAUGAAGGUGAAUAUGAUGUGGAAAAUACAAAGAUGGAAGCAACAAGCUAAGGAUGCUGGGGCAGAAAGAUGGAACCUGGGUUACUCAUGACAUCUUGAAACUGCUGCAGCCAUCCUAGACUGGCUGCCUCUAGACUUAAUAUGUUUAGAAAGUAAAUCCCAAUUUUAUUAAACUGUUAUCUGUU